GUCUGCCUUCCAAAGUGUAGGCUUCUUAGCUGAGGCAAUUCAGAACCACAGGAAUUUACUGAAUGCCGGCCACAUGCCAGGCACGUUCAGCAUCUUUGGGAGGCCAAAGGAGAGGAGAGCCUCCUGGACUCAGGGAUCAUCCAUUGAUCCCUCUUCACUUCAUGGCCAUUCCUCCAAGCAGCAAGCCAGUGAGUUAAUCUUGAGGUGUCCAUGCCUGGGAUUCCCAUGACAUCUGACUGUGGGGACAUUCUAAGAAGCUGGAACAAACUGUAAGGACCCCAUUUCAAACAAAAUUCUGUAUUUCCCCUCAGAUCCUGGAUGUAUUCCCUGUUAGUGAGAGCUCAAGUAGGGAUCUUUGUACCAGCAUACUUCCUUCAGGGAAAUGGUCUGCAGUAUUUUAGAAGUUGAGUCUUGGGAGAGGCAAUGUGGAGUUGCAGGGCCUCCCAUUCUAAGGUAGAACCUUACCAGGGAAAGAUGGAGAGCACAGGGUGUGUCAAGGAGGCUUCUCCCACCAACACCUGCUCUCCAACACAGCCCAACAGUUAGGAGGCAGAAGAGACGUAGGAUGGGAAAUUCCUGUGAAUUACACUAUUAGGAUUUCAUAUUGGGGAGAGAGAGGGGGG
Molecule: long non-coding RNA, 623 nt
Filed under: Cricetulus griseus (Chinese hamster)
Lineage: Eukaryota; Metazoa; Chordata; Mammalia; Rodentia; Cricetidae
Description: lncRNA (ENSCGRG00000026031.1)
Source: RNAcentral